RNAcentral lists this ribosomal RNA (253 nucleotides) under uncultured bacterium. Its description in RNAcentral is "partial 16S ribosomal RNA". It matches the Rfam family "Bacterial small subunit ribosomal RNA", at positions 524 to 776 of the family's 1533-position model. The record is from RNAcentral.
UACAGAGGCCUCGAGCGUUGUUCGGAAUUACUGGGCGUAAGGCGAAUGUAGGUGGUGACGUAAGUCAGAUGUGAAAGCCCAGGGCUUAACCCUGGAAAUGCAUUUGAUACUGCGUUGCUAGAGUAUGAGAGAGGAAAGGGGAAUUCCUAGUGUAGGAGUGAAAUCCGUAGAUAUUAGGAGGAAUACCAAUGGCGAAGGCACCUUUCUGGUUCAUUACUGACACUGAGAUUCGACAGCGUGGGUAGCAAACAGG